ACAUAUUUACGAAGCAUAGAUAUAUGAAAAACAUUAUGAACACGAGACAUGCUUGGAGGUAAUGUGAGUCUAUAGGUUACAUUUCCUAUCCGGUCAAAAAUCUCAAAUGGACCAACAAAUCUUGGAUUGAGCUUUCCUCUCUUCUCGACUCUUGUAACUCCCUUCCAUGGAGCAAUACGUAACAGUAUAUGAUCCCCAAUACUAAAUUCCAC
Molecule: long non-coding RNA, 212 nt
Filed under: Panax ginseng (ginseng)
Lineage: Eukaryota; Viridiplantae; Streptophyta; Magnoliopsida; Apiales; Araliaceae
Description: long non-coding RNA (PGIN_LNC013084)
Source: RNAcentral